This 251-nucleotide ribosomal RNA is filed under the name uncultured Lactobacillus sp. Its description in RNAcentral is "partial 16S ribosomal RNA". It matches the Rfam family "Bacterial small subunit ribosomal RNA", at positions 116 to 355 of the family's 1533-position model. The record is from RNAcentral. Lineage: Bacteria; Bacillati; Bacillota; Bacilli; Lactobacillales; Lactobacillaceae.
CGUGGGGUAACCUGCCCAAGAGAUCGGGAUAACACCUGGAAACAGAUGCUAAUACCGGAUAACAACAGAUGAUGCCUAUCAACUGUUUAAAAGAUGGUUCUGCUAUCACUCUUGGAUGGACCUGCGGUGCAUUAGCUAGUUGGUAGGGUAACGGCCUACCAAGGCGAUGAUGCAUAGCCGAGUUGAGAGACUGAUCGGCCACAUUGGGACUGAGACACCGGACCCAAACUCCGUACGGGGAGGCAGCAGUU